AAAGGAAUAGACGGGGGCCCGCACAAGCAGUGGAGUAUGUGGUUUAAUUCGACGCAACGCGAAGAACCUUACCAGGUCUUGACAUCGGAUGCAUAUCCCAGAGAUGGGAGAAGUCUUCGGACAUCCAGACAGGUGGUGCAUGGUUGUCGUCAGCUCGUGUCGUGAGAUGUUGGGUUAAGUCCCGCAACGAGCGCAACCCUUACUGAUAGUUACUACGAAAGAGGACUCUAUCGGGACUGCCGUUGUAAGACGGAGGAAGGCGGGGAUGACGUCAAAUCAUCAUGCCCUUUAUGACCUGGGCUACACACGUACUACAAUGGCCGUUAACAAAGGGGACCGAUGGAGCGAUCCGGAGGAAAUCCGUUAAAAGCGGUCUCAGUUCGGAUUGCAGGCUGCAACCCGCCUGCAUGAAGUCGGAAUUGCUAGUAAUCGCGGAUCAGCAUGCCGCGGUGAAUACGUUCCCGGGCCUUGUACACACCGCCCGU
Molecule: ribosomal RNA, 485 nt
Filed under: uncultured bacterium
Lineage: Bacteria
Description: bacterial SSU rRNA
Rfam family: Bacterial small subunit ribosomal RNA
Source: RNAcentral